Molecule: ribosomal RNA, 20 nt
Filed under: Pythium aphanidermatum
Lineage: Eukaryota; Oomycota; Peronosporomycetes; Pythiales; Pythiaceae
Description: partial 18S ribosomal RNA
Source: RNAcentral
GAACCUGGGAAGGAUCAUUA